This is a long non-coding RNA of Alligator sinensis (Chinese alligator), 241 nucleotides long. RefSeq lists it as uncharacterized. The transcript has 3 exons. The record is from RefSeq and is a predicted model, not a curated record. NCBI's taxonomy places the organism in Eukaryota, Metazoa, Chordata, Crocodylia, Alligatoridae.
GCCAAGCAGUGAAUGGGGUGAGGAAAGCGAUAACAUGUCCAGUUCAGGAUGUUGAAAAUUCAAAUGAGUUCCACUGUACCCAAGAAAGAACUUUGAAUGGCAUCAGAAAAAUGAAAGAUUUGGAGCCUGACUCUACAAAUGAAGAUAGAACUGACAGAUCUGUGUGUGUGGGAGGAUAUGUAACUGCAGCCAUGGAGAAAAUGAAAUUCCAUUAUAAUACAUACGCAUUACUAGUUGUGUU